CGGGAAUGGAGUCUAUAUAGAGUCUUCAGUUCAUCGGCUUCUCCUGUAAUCCAUUAUUGUUGCAGUUUGGUUGAGGCGCUCUCGCCGACUUCGAGUCUCUGAAUUUCCGGCGAUCAAUCUGUUCAAUUUCAAAUAAGUCAGGUUGAUCGGGGAAUUCAGGCUACCUCAUGCUAUUAAGGGAAGAGCACGAGGCUCAGGUGAGAAACGCGCGGUCGCUGCUGGCUUUCUCGAGGAGCCGCCCGAUAAAGCUAGGUUCAUGGAGGUUGGAUAGGAGGAGCAUCGGUGGCGUUCGGAAUGGAGAGGGGGAUGGCGAUUGUCGGGUCUGUGCUCGGGCCGGGGACUUUUUGCUGAGGUUUGCUGGAGGGGAGGGCGGUGAGUUCGUGGGACAGAUCGGAGGUUUUAGCCACGAGAGUGAGCACGACCUGGCGGUGAUGGUUAGC
Long non-coding RNA from Dendrobium catenatum, 440 nucleotides. RefSeq lists it as uncharacterized. The transcript is spliced from 2 exons. Lineage: Eukaryota; Viridiplantae; Streptophyta; Magnoliopsida; Asparagales; Orchidaceae. The record is from RefSeq and is a predicted model, not a curated record.